Molecule: ribosomal RNA, 301 nt
Filed under: uncultured bacterium
Lineage: Bacteria
Description: partial 16S ribosomal RNA
Rfam family: Bacterial small subunit ribosomal RNA
Source: RNAcentral
CAGCAGCCGCGGGAAUACAGAGGGUGCGAGCGUUAAUCGGAUUUACUGGGCGUAAAGCGUGCGUAGGCGGCUUCUUAAGUCGGAUGUGAAAUCCCUGAGCUUAACUUAGGAAUUGCAUUCGAUACUGGGAAGCUAGAGUAUGGGAGAGGAUGGUAGAAUUCUAGGUGUAGCGGUGAAAUGCGUAGAGAUCUGGAGGAAUACCGAUGGCGAAGGCAGCCAUCUGGCCUAAUACUGACGCUGAGGUACGAAAGCAUGGGGAGCAAACAGGAUUAGAUACCCCAGUAGUCCCUGUCUCUUAUAC